GUAUAGAGGUAUGGGACUGUAGGUGGAGGUAUAGAGGUAUGGGACUGCAGGUGGAGGUAUAGAGGUAUGGGACUGUAGGUGGAGGUAUAGAGGUAUGGGACUGUAGGUGGAGGUAUAGAGGUAUGGGACUGUAGGUGGAGGUAUAGAGGUAUGGGACUGUAGGUGGAGGUAUAGAGGUAUGGGACUGUAGGUGGAGGUAUAGAGGUAUGGGACUGUAGGUGGAGGUAUGGACUGUAGGUAGAGGUAUGGGACUGUAGGUGGAGGUAUAGAGGUAUGGGACUGCAGGUGGAGGUAUAGAGGUAUGGGACUGUAGGUGGUGCUAUGGGACUGUAGUGGAGGUAUAGAGGUAUGGGACUGUAGGUGGAGGUAUAGAGGUAUGGGACUGUAGGUGGAGGUAUAGAGGUAUGGGACUGUAGGUGGAGGUAUAGAGGUAUGGGACUGUAGGUGGUGGUAUGGGACUGUAGGUGGAGGUAUAGAGGUAUGGGACUGUAGGUGGAGGUAUAGAGGUGGAUUUGUAUGGGACUGUAGUUGGAGGUAUAGAGGUAUGGGACUGCAGGUGGAGGUAUAGAGGUAUGGGACUGUAGGUGGAGGUAUAGAGGUAUGGGACUGUAGGUGGAGGUAUAGAGGUAUGGG
RNAcentral lists this long non-coding RNA (633 nucleotides) under Salmo salar (Atlantic salmon). Its description in RNAcentral is "lncRNA (ENSSSAG00000109104.1)". The record is from RNAcentral. Lineage: Eukaryota; Metazoa; Chordata; Actinopteri; Salmoniformes; Salmonidae.